RNAcentral lists this ribosomal RNA (239 nucleotides) under uncultured bacterium. RNAcentral's name for it is "partial 16S ribosomal RNA". It matches the Rfam family "Bacterial small subunit ribosomal RNA", at positions 94 to 334 of the family's 1533-position model. The record is from RNAcentral.
AGUGGCGGACGGGUGAGUAACGCGUGGGUAACCUGCCUCAUACAGGGGGAUAACAGUUAGAAAUGACUGCUAAUACCGCAUAAGACCACAGCACCGCAUGGUGCAGGGGUAAAACUCCGGUGGUAUGAGAUGGACCCGCGUCUGAUUAGGUAGUUGGUGGGGUAACGGCCUACCAAGCCGACGAUCAGUAGCCGACCUGAGAGGGUGACCGGCCACAUUGGGACUGAGACACGGCCCAA